Folsomia candida is the source of this 546-nucleotide long non-coding RNA. RefSeq lists it as uncharacterized. NCBI's taxonomy places the organism in Eukaryota, Metazoa, Arthropoda, Collembola, Entomobryomorpha, Isotomidae. The transcript has 4 exons. The record is from RefSeq and is a predicted model, not a curated record.
ACGUUAAACAUCACAACAUUUUUAACUUCACUUAACUUUUCGAGUCAAUUUGCGUAAUUCGAGCUGCAUUUGAAAAAGCUUCACCAAUCUUAAAUAUUUACAACCUAUUUACAUAAAUACCACGUUCCAUAUUAAAUUGUCCGAAAUUACAAGUUAGUGAAUACAUGAAUACCCUUUCUGACAUGGAAUCCAUUUUCACUUUUCACCAAGUAAACUGUACUGGACGUCUGGGAUCCACCUUUCUCGCUGAAGUUUGUUGGAUGAAGGAGGGAGUUUUGCAAUCUGCUCGACCAACGCCAUAUCUUCGAGUCAUGCUGACACAGGACGACGGGGAGACAAUUAUGGUGGCCAUUGCGACCGGGAAUUUUUACCACGUGGCAAAAAAUCUUUACCAGGUUGGGAACGUCUACUGUUUUCCAGGAGGAAUGUUCGAAAUCCGUCUUCACACAUCACAAAACUCGUGCUCGAGUUAUCCGUUCGACUUGUAGUUCCUGAACGAUUCUGCCACAUCUGAUCAAACGAGUCCCAAAUCAUGCCAGACUUCAC